AUACGGAGGAUCUGAGCGUUAUCCGGAUUUAUUGGGUUUAAAGGGUGCGCAGGCGGCCAUUUAAGUCAGCGGUUAAAUCGUGGGGCUCAACCCCAUUCUGCCGUUGAUACUGGGUGGCUUGAUUGCGGUCGGGGUUGGCGGAAUUCGUUGUGUAGCGGUGAAAUGAAUAGAUAUGACGAAGAACACCGAUUGCGUAGGCAGCUGACCAGACCGCAAAUGACGCUCAUGCACGAAAGUGCGGGGAUCGAACAGGAUUAGAUACCCUGGUAGUCCGCACAGUAAACGAUGAAUACUUGUUUUCGGCGAUAUAAUGUCGGAGGCAAAGCGAAAGCGAUAAGUAUUCCACCUGGGGAGUACGCCGGCAACGGUGAAACUCAAAUGAAUUGACGGGG
This 392-nucleotide ribosomal RNA is filed under the name uncultured bacterium. RNAcentral describes it as "partial 16S ribosomal RNA". It matches the Rfam family "Bacterial small subunit ribosomal RNA", at positions 523 to 918 of the family's 1533-position model. The record is from RNAcentral.